Long non-coding RNA from Mauremys reevesii (Reeves's turtle), 549 nucleotides. RefSeq lists it as uncharacterized. NCBI's taxonomy places the organism in Eukaryota, Metazoa, Chordata, Testudines, Geoemydidae. The record is from RefSeq and is a predicted model, not a curated record. The transcript has 3 exons.
AAAGCAGGCAUCAAAAGAAGAGAGACUGUGAGGGUUUAGAACCUCCCUCCACUUCGCAUAAAUAUCUUUGAUGAUUAUCAAAAAAAUAAAUAAAUAAAACAAUGCAUGAAAAGUAAAUGGAUUUAGAGGGUGGGAUUUUCAGACAUGCUCAGUGCCAGUCUAGUGAAAUCAAUAGCAAAACUCCCCUAAACUUCAGCGGGAGCAGACUUACAAAAAGCACUCAGUGUUGGCCUAUUUAAAUAUGCCAGUUUUUUGUUUGUCUUUUCUGUAUGAAAGUCUCUACAUUACAAAAUUUGAACGAAAGUUGAACAAAGGCCCAGGCCAAACCAGCUAACAACAAAGUCAAGCGGAACCUCUGGAAAAAUAAAUGCUUGGCCUUCCCCAAUUCAGUUUUGACCCUCCUCCACCCUAGGCAUGAGAACAACUUAUGGAAUUACAUACCCCAGCCGAGAAGAUAAUACCACAUCAAAUGCUGUUUCUCUGCAAAGACAGCCACCACAAUGAGAGUAUGCAGAUAAAUGCCUUCACAGAGCAUCCAGAAGUAAUGGC